ACGAACGCUGGCGGCAUGCCUAACACAUGCCAGUCGAACGAGACCUUCGGGUCUAGUGGCGCACGGGUGCGUAACACGUGGGAAUCUGCCCUUUGCUUCGGAAUAACAGUUAGAAAUGACUGCUAAUACCGGAUGAUGUCGAAAGACCAAAGAUUUAUCGGCAAAGGAUGAGCCCGCGUAGGAUUAGGUAGUUGGUGGGGUAAAGGCCUACCAAGCCGACGAUCCUUAGCUGGUCUGAGAGGAUGAUCAGCCACACUGGGACUGAGACACGGCCCAGACUCCUACGGGAGGCAGCAGUGGGGAAUAUUGGACAAUGGGCGAAAGCCUGAUCCAGCAAUGCCGCGUGAGUGAUGAAGGCCUUAGGGUUGUAAAGCUCUUUUACCAGGGAUGAUAAUGACAGUACCUGGAGAAUAAGCUCCGGCUAACUCCGUG
RNAcentral lists this ribosomal RNA (432 nucleotides) under uncultured bacterium. RNAcentral describes it as "partial 16S ribosomal RNA". It matches the Rfam family "Bacterial small subunit ribosomal RNA", at positions 29 to 507 of the family's 1533-position model. The record is from RNAcentral.